RNAcentral lists this ribosomal RNA (472 nucleotides) under uncultured bacterium. RNAcentral describes it as "partial 16S ribosomal RNA". It matches the Rfam family "Bacterial small subunit ribosomal RNA", at positions 28 to 507 of the family's 1533-position model. The record is from RNAcentral.
GACGAACGCUGGCGGCGUGCUUAACACAUGCAAGUCGAACGCUGAAGCUUGGUGCUUGCACUGGGUGGAUGAGUGGCGAACGGGUGAGUAAUACGUGAGUAACCUGCCCUUGACUCUGGGAUAAGCCUGGGAAACUGGGUCUAAUACUGGAUACGACAUGUCACCGCAUGGUGGUGUGUGGAAAGGGUUUUACUGGUUUUGGAUGGGCUCACGGCCUAUCAGCUUGUUGGUGGGGUAAUGGCUCACCAAGGCGACGACGGGUAGCCGGCCUGAGAGGGUGACCGGCCACACUGGGGCUGAGACACGGCCCAGACUCCUACGGGAGGCAGCAGUGGGGAAUAUUGCACAAUGGGCGGAAGCCUGAUGCAGCGACGCCGCGUGAGGGAUGACGGCCUUCGGGUUGUAAACCUCUUUCAGCACGGAAGAAGCGAAAGUGACGGUACGUGCAGAAGAAGCGCCGGCUAACUACGUG